RNAcentral lists this ribosomal RNA (383 nucleotides) under uncultured eukaryote. Its description in RNAcentral is "partial 18S ribosomal RNA". It matches the Rfam family "Eukaryotic small subunit ribosomal RNA", at positions 592 to 976 of the family's 1831-position model. The record is from RNAcentral.
CAAUAGCGUAUAUUAAAGUUGUUGCAGUUAAAAAGCUCGUAGUUGGAUUUCUGGUAGGAGCGACCGUGCCGAACUUGAUUGUUCGAGUAUUGUGUUGUCUUCAGCCAUCCUCGUGGAGAACUUUUCUAACAUUAACUUGUUGGGAUUGGGACCCGCGUCGUUUACUGUGAAAAAAUUAGAGUGUUUAAAGCAGGCAUUAGCUUGAAUACAUUAGCAUGGAAUAAUAGGAUAGGACUUUGGUACUAUUUUGUUGGUUUGCAUACCAAAUUAAUGAUCAACAGGAACAGUUUGAGGAUAUUCGUAUGAACAUGUCAGAGGUGAAAUUCUUGGAUUUUGAUCAGACGAACUACUGCGAAAGCAUUUAUCAAGGAUGUUUUCAUUAA